UACGUAGGUGGCGAGCGUUGUCCGGAUUUACUGGGCGUAAAGAGCGCGCAGGCGGUCGUUCAAGUCGCGUGUGAAAGCCCCCGGCUCAACUGGGGAGGGUCACGCGAUACUGAUCGACUCGAAGGCAGGAGAGGGUAGUGGAAUUCCCGGUGUAGUGGUGAAAUGCGUAGAUAUCGGGAGGAACACCAGUGGCGAAGGCGACUACCUGGCCUGUUCUUGACGCUGAGGCGCGAAAGCCAGGGGAGCAAACGGG
RNAcentral lists this ribosomal RNA (253 nucleotides) under uncultured bacterium. RNAcentral describes it as "partial 16S ribosomal RNA". It matches the Rfam family "Bacterial small subunit ribosomal RNA", at positions 524 to 776 of the family's 1533-position model. The record is from RNAcentral.